CCUACGGGAGGCAGCAGUGGGGAAUAUUGCGCAAUGGGCGAAAGCCUGACGCAGCGACGCCGCGUGAGGGAUGAAGGUCCUCGGAUCGUAAACCUCUGUCAGCAGGGAAGAACGGUCACUGUGCUAAUCAGCAGUGAAUUGACGGUACCUGCAAAGGAAGCACCGGCUAACUCCGGGCCAGCAGCCGCGGUACUACGGAGGGUGCGAGCGUUAAUCGGAAGUACUGGGCGUAAAGCGUUCGUAGGCGGUAUGUCAAGUCAAGGGUGAAAUCCCCGCGCUCAACGCGGGAACUGCCUUUGAAACUGGCAAACUGGAGUGUGUGAGAGGAUAGUGGAAUUCCAGGUGUAGGAGUGAAAUCCGUAGAUAUCUGGAGGAACAUCAGUGGCGAAGGCGACUAUCUGGCACAUAACUGACGCUGAGGAGCGAAAGCGUGGGUAGCAAACAGGAUUAGAUACCCCUGUAGUC
RNAcentral lists this ribosomal RNA (465 nucleotides) under uncultured bacterium. RNAcentral describes it as "partial 16S ribosomal RNA". It matches the Rfam family "Bacterial small subunit ribosomal RNA", at positions 338 to 795 of the family's 1533-position model. The record is from RNAcentral.